UAUCAAAAUACACUUGCUCCAAAUAGAUGCAUGCAAAUAUAUAAACGAGAAUAUACAACAAACAACUGUUCUGUUUUUAGGGAUUUAAAUUUAAUUAUAAAUGACACAUACAGGCUUUCAGGUGCAUAAUUUACGAUAAGAAACUAAACAAACAACUCCAUAAGACAAUUUCCAAAUCGCAGUUUUCCAACAAGACACAAAACUGCAAAACAAGAGGUCAGAUGACUUACAGUGUUCAUAGACUCAAUGAUUCAACACUUAAUUCAGUUACACUUUAGAACUAUUCAAUUACACGCAUUUAUAAAAGCAUAAGCUAAAAACUACAUGAAAAAAGAAGGCCUCUCAAAAAAGUGUCAAAGUGGCAAAACACCAGCUAAAAAGAAGUAAAAGGUCUAUACCAAGUGCUUUCCAAGCUCGUGUUGCCCAUCACCAUCGGUUUGAAGAGAGAGUGACAGGUCUUUGUUGGUGAAUAGAAAUCAGUGGCAUUGGAGAGAGGGAGGACUCCUCCUACCCAAUUACCCAAGCUGGGCAGGCGUUUGCUCUCUUCACAAAUAGGACACAGGAUCUCUAACACACACAGUCCCAAACCUGACUUUCAAGCAUUCGGAUCCCCAGUAGGAGAUUGGGACUAUCUGAAAAAGCAGGUUUAAAACAUCCUUCAGACUUCAGCUUUGCCUUAUAUCAUCCGGACUAUACUUUUUUUUCCCUCCUGCCUAACAAGACAUUGGAGAAGUGGACUGGUUCUCCUGACUGUUCCUGCGCCGUCCAUCAAAUUCCACCGGCUAUAUUUUGAAAUAUUGAUUGCAUUGUGUGAAUUUGUUGGUGUAGAUCCACUCGGAUGUUUUAAGGAUCCGGAAAGCUGUAUAUGGAAGUUGUGGGGUGCAAGGCGAAAGAAAGCAGUUGCACAUUGCGUCCAGCAGCCAUGCUUUUCCACGGCAUCUCUGGGGAUCAUAUUCAAGGGAUCAUGGAGGAGAUGGAGAGGAGAUCUAAAACGGAGUCUCGCCUGGCUAAAACAGUCCAGAUGAACGGACGAGAAACGACUAUGCCCUCCAUGAGCCCAGAGAAGCCCGCGCUGUGCGCCGGUUGCGGUGGUAAAAUCUCCGACAGAUACUACUUACUCGCCGUUGAUAAACAGUGGCAUUUAAGGUGUCUCAAGUGUUGUGAAUGUAAACUGGCCCUUGAAUCCGAGUUGACGUGUUUCGCGAAGGAUGGCAGCAUUUACUGCAAAGAGGAUUACUACAGAAGGUUCUCCGUGCAGAGAUGUGCCCGCUGCCACCUCGGCAUCUCCGCCUCGGAAAUGGUGAUGCGAGCCAGGGACUCCGUGUACCAUCUGAGCUGCUUCACCUGCACCACAUGCAACAAAACACUGACCACGGGUGACCAUUUCGGCAUGAAAGACAACUUGGUUUACUGCCGGGUUCACUUUGAGACCCUUAUUCAGGGAGAGUAUCACCCUCAAUUAAACUACGCUGAAUUAGCGGCCAAAGGUGGAGGGCUCGCGCUACCUUACUUCAAUGGCACCGGCACGGUGCAGAAAGGAAGGCCGCGGAAGAGGAAGAGUCCGGCGAUGGGGAUAGAUAUCGGCUCUUACAACUCAGGUUGUAACGAGAACGAAGCGGACCAUUUGGAUCGGGAUCAGCAACCCUACCCUCCUUCCCAGAAGACCAAGCGCAUGCGAACGUCGUUCAAACACCAUCAGCUUCGCACCAUGAAGUCCUACUUUGCCAUAAACCACAACCCCGACGCCAAGGACUUAAAACAGCUUGCCCAAAAGACAGGACUGACCAAGAGAGUUCUUCAGGGAGAACAAAUCUUGGGGCAUUACAGCCAUACUUCACGACGUUUGAAAAUUCCCUAAAGUAUUAAAAGAAGCUUUGAUCGGAAUUCUUCACCAUUGAAGACAAAGACAAUAUUAGGAUCAGAUUUUAGAGUGAUUUAAACAACAAAAAACAAUCUACCAAAAAUGUAUUCCAAAUUUUUUUCCUUUUUUUUUUUUUUUUUUUGGUCCUGAAUGUUUAAAAACAUCUUUGUAAGAGAUUCCACAACAAAUGGGAUAUUUUUCUUACGACCGAAAUGAGGCAGAAAGGCAAAGAAAAAUAAGUUGUACAGUACUGUAGAUGCAUAACAGAGCAACCUUGCUCCAAGAGGCGACUGCAGGAGACGGAAUCUACGCACGCAUGCAUGUCUACACACACACACACUACCUUGUAAUUCUGCUUGCUGUAAAACAUUCCUGUGCAACAAAUGUCACUUAUCAUGAAAGCACAGCCUUCCUAAAACUUGGCAACAAAAUGUCUGACCAAGAGAAGCUGGAAAGGAACACCAUAUGGCUGUAUUUAAAAUGAAAACACAUUAUUUAUAAAAAAAAAAAAAAAAAAAAAGAUUCAAAUUUUUGCAUGCACUUCAUGUUGUUGACAGCAAUUUCAGAUAUUUGGAUAUUAUUUUAUAUUGAUGUUUCUUUUGUUGUCUGUUGUAUACUAUAACCUUUUAAAGGACAAUUCUUGUAAAUCCAAAAUCUUCAGACAAAACAACAGUAAAAGUCAGUAAAAGCAUGCUUGAUUUGACAAUAAAACCUGGUUAUCUUAAAAAAAAAAAAAAAAAAAAUUGGGGUUCGCUGAUUUUCCUAGAAACACAUUCUUGUGGUGUUAGUUAAAAUAAAUCAAUAAAAUAGUAGAGGGAAAUAUUCCUUUUUUUUUGUAAGUUUGAUGUAAUGGUAAAUGUUUUAAAAUAUUAUGCUGAUUUUUUUCUUAUUGUAACAAUAUCUAGAAAGCAAACUUUAUUAAACAAUGCUUGUGCUAUACUCUGUUAAGUGUGUGUGGGGGAAAAAGCAUUGGGCCACAUGGGGGCCUAGUAAACAGUAAAGUGUUGAAUUCCAGCUAUGCCAGACUUGUCAAGCUUCGGGCUGCAUCACUGAUCUGCACAUGCUGGAUGACCACGAAACGUAAUUCUUUUCAGUCUGUGGACAAUUUCUGCGCUGCCUUCAUAAAAAUGUUUAGUCAGACAACCUACAAUGUGCUUCAUGUGGUAACAUCUCAGUCACUUAAAUGUACUAUAUGUAACUUUGGCGCUCUGGCGGUUAAUAAACAAAACUGCAUGCGUCUGGCGGAAGAACAUUGUAGACGGAACUACUUUUCUCUGUUUAUGUUUAUGACGAGUCACGCAGGUACUGGGCUACUCCGCAACGGUCGUCGUCCGGUCUAAACGCUGAUACCGUAUCAGGAUAAGACAAAAACACGGUUUGGAAGAUGGUUUCAUGAUGUACUCGCUCUUUCUAUAAAAUCUGUCAAUUUUGAAGAAAAAAGUUACAUAGUGUACCUUUAAUGUUACUGAAUUAACUUGGAUACAACACCAACGGAAGUCAUUUCAAGUGCCAAAUCAGUGGUCAGUUGUCCUUAGGCCCAAGUCAGCAGACAAGAGGCUCUUAACACCCGUGACCGUAGGGAAUUCUUUGGAAAACAAGGGACCUUGAGGGUUCAAAAGGAGGCGAUGAUGUAUUUUAUACACACUUGGAGGAGUAGACGGUCACCAUAUCCAGAAGCAAACAGGAAGAUGGAUGCUGUCCUCCCCUGCAAACAGCGAUUAUAUGGAAAUCUCUUUCUCUCACACACAAGGAGCCAAACUGCAUGAUGAAUCAGGAAGGUUUGUGAUUGUUUCCAUGAGCAUGUUCUAUUAUGACACACUGAUUUUAUGUCAGAAAAACAUUUAAAAUGUUCUUUUUUAAAUACACUACCGGAAAAAAAAAAUUAACACACUAUUAAAGAGACAGUUCACCCC
This is an RNA transcript of Megalobrama amblycephala (Wuchang bream), 3774 nucleotides long. It is a transcript of the gene named LIM homeobox 9, with no coding region annotated. The transcript is spliced from 6 exons. The record is from RefSeq and is a predicted model, not a curated record. Lineage: Eukaryota; Metazoa; Chordata; Actinopteri; Cypriniformes; Xenocyprididae.